GCCGGGAUGGUGGAAUGGUAGACACACGGGACUCAAAAUCCCGCGAUAGCAAUAUCAUGAGAGUUCGAGUCUCUCUCCCGGCA
This 83-nucleotide transfer RNA is filed under the name Candidatus Moraniibacteriota bacterium. RNAcentral describes it as "tRNA-Leu". It matches the Rfam family "tRNA". Rfam says of the family: Transfer RNA (tRNA) molecules are approximately 80 nucleotides in length. Their secondary structure includes four short double-helical elements and three loops (D, anti-codon, and T loops). Further hydrogen bonds mediate the characteristic L-shaped molecular structure. tRNAs have two regions of fundamental functional importance: the anti-codon, which is responsible for specific mRNA codon recognition, and the 3' end, to which the tRNAs corresponding amino acid is attached (by aminoacyl-tRNA synthetases). tRNAs cope with the degeneracy of the genetic code in two manners: having more than one tRNA (with a specific anti-codon) for a particular amino acid; and 'wobble' base-pairing, i.e. permitting non-standard base-pairing at the 3rd anti-codon position. Lineage: Bacteria; Candidatus Moraniibacteriota. The record is from RNAcentral.